CCAGGCUGGAGUGCGGUGGCAGGAUCUCUGCUCACUGCAACCUCCGCCUCCCAGGUUCAAGCGAUUCUUCUGCCUUAGCCUCCCGAGUAGCUGGGAUUACAGGCGCCUGCCACCAUGCCUGGCUAAUUUUGUGUUUUUUGCGGUUCACGAGGUCAGGAGAUUGAGACCAUCCUGGCUAACACAGUGAAACUCCGUCUCUACUAAAAAUACAAAAAACUAGCUGGGCGUGGUGGUGGGCGCCUAUAGUCCCAGCUACUCAGGAGGCUGAGGCAGGAGAAUGGCAUGAACCCAGGAGGCGGAGCUUGCAGUGAGCCGAGGUCACGCCACUGCACUCCAGCCUGGGCAACAAGAGCAAGACUCCAUCUCAAAAAAAAAAAAUAAUAAUCUGGAAAACCUCUUCUGGGGGCUCUUAUAAAAGUAGAUUUGUCCAAAUUGACUUCUGAUCUGAGGCCAGAGACAACCACAGGGCAGAGCUGGAGACUGGGCUGUUUUGAAGGAAGAAGGACUGGCAGACCAGCUCUUGGGAAAGCUCCAUUAUUGCCUGUGGGAGGCUGGACCUGAACUUGCACCUAUGAACAACCCUGCCAUUUAGAGCUUUUUCCUGGGGGUGCCGGCGGCUGGUGACCAGACUGCCAUUCUCCACGUUCUCCCUGGUGCUUCCGACUCUGUCCUCUAGGUUGGAAGUGGUUUGUGUAAACGGGUGAUGGGACCAGGUCACAUCAUUUCUGCAUUUAAGACAGCAGGAUACUUCCUGGGGCUGAGGUUCAAACUGGUAUUGUGACCACCGCUUUGACAGAAUUCCAUCUUCCCAGCAUGAUCACAUUGUAAGACUAUUAGGAUGUGUGGGUUUUAACACUUAUAUACACUUAUACAACUGUUGGUUAUCAUUGUCUUUAGUAUUUUACAGUGGCCCCUCAGCACCUCUUAGACCCAACAGCAAAGGACUUAAAAUAAGCACAGGAAACCUUGCUAUGGUGAUUAGUUUUGAUACCUUUGAGACAAUUGAGUCUAGCUUCUUAGUUGCCCCUUAUUUAUGUUGAAAUCUGGCUCAUUCAUAUGAUGUUUUACUGUGCUGGCCUUGUAAAGAAUUUUAAGACAAUCCAUCACCAUCAAUGUUUUGCCUUUCUCCACUUUCGUGUAUCUUACAGUUAUACUCACUGGAGGUCAUUUGCAGCAAGGCUCUGGAAGAAUGAAACUGGUGCCCUGUAAUUGCAUUUGCAUUCAAUCUAGGUUUGCCUUCAGGCUUUAAAUGCGGCCUGUAUGAAGGUCAAGUCUUUUUCUUCAGUCCCUAUCAGUAAAGAAAAAUCGUUGCCUCUAGAGGGAGCUAUCAGCUGUGGGUCAGGUGGCCGUACUGGGGCUAGAGUUGGCCCAGGAAGCUGUACAGGGUUUAGGGAAGGAGGUUCGGAGACAGGGAGCCAAGGCCUCUGUCAGGUCUAGCUUGUGCCGGUCAGACCUGCAGCAGCACCAUUCUCCAGGAUGACAAUUCAUCCCAUUAUUGAUGGCAGUGGCCUUUUUAUCCUUUUUUUUUUUUUUUUUUUUUUUUGAGAUGGAGUUUCGCUCUUGUUGCCCAGGCUGGAGUGCAGUGGCGCAAUCUGGGCUCACUGCCACCUCCGCCUCCCGGGUUCAAGUGAUUCUCUUGCCUCAACCUCCCGAGUAGCUGGGAUUACAGGCAUGCGCCACCAUGCCUGGCUGAUUUUCUAUUUUUAGUAGAGAAGGGGUUUCACCAUGUUGGCCAGGCUGGUUUUGAACUCCUGUCCUCAGGUGAUCCACCUGCCUUGGCCUCCCAAAGUGUUGGGAUUACAGGCAUGAGCCACCGCACCCGGCUGGUGGCAGUGGCUUUAAGGGCAUUUAGAAGAAGGACAAGAUUGGACUUUUUAUCAUUUCCACAGUCUGUUAUGGGUCAGAUUAGGUAGUAAGGAGUUCUCCAUUGGAGCUAUUCUUUUUUUUUUUUCUUUUUUUUUGAGACAGAGUCUCGCUCUGUCACCCAGGCUGGGGUGCAGUGGCACGACCUUGGCUCACUACAGCCUCUCCCCUCCCGGGUUCAAGUGAUUCUUCUGCCCCAGCCUCCCAAGUAGCUGGGAUUACAGGUGAGCGCCACCAUGCCUGGCUAAUUUUUAUAUUUUUAGUAGAGAUAGGGUUUCACCGUAUUGGCUAGGCUGGUCUCGAUCUCCUGACCUUGUGAUCCGCUUGCCUCGGCCUCCCAAAGUGCUGAAGCAAUUUCUUUUUUUUUUUUUUUUUUGAGACAGAGUCUAGCUCUGUCGCCCAGGCUGGGGUGCAGUGGAGUGAUCUCGGCUCACUGCAACUUCCGCCUCCCAGGUUUAAGCGAUUCUCCUGCCUCAGCCUCCUGAGUAGCUGGGAUUACAGGCGUAUGCCACCACGCCCAGCUAAUUUUUGUAUUUUUAGUAGAGACAGGGUUUCACCAUGUUGGUCAGGCUGGUCUCGAACUCCUGACCUCGUGAUCCGCCCGCCUUGGCCUCCGAAAGUGCUGGGAUUACAGGCGUGAGCCACUGCGCCUGGCCUGAAGCUAUUCUUUACAAAAGCUCUUAGUUUUUGUUUGUUUGUUUGUUUUUUUCUUUUGCGACGGACUCUCUGUCGCCAAGGCUGGAGUGCAGUGGCCUGAUCUCAGGUCACUGCAACCUCUGCCUCCUGGGUUCAAGCGAUUCUCCUGCUUCAGCCUCCCAAGUAGCUGGGAUUACAGGCGCCUGCCACCACACCCAGCUAAUUUUUGUAUUUUUAGUAGAGAUGGCGUUUCACUUUAUUGGUCAGGCUGGUCUCGAACUUCCAACCUCAGGGGAUCCGCCUGCCUUGGCCUCCCAAGGUGUUGGGAUUACAGGCAUAAGACACUGUGCCUGGGCCUCUUAGUAAUUUUUGUAUGUAAUUUUCAAAGUAUCCGGGAUUACAGGCGCCCGCCACUACACUAGCUAAUUUUUUUUGUAUUUUUAGUAGAGAUGGGGUUUUACUAUGUUGGCUAGGCUGGUCUCGAGCUCCUGACCUCGUGAUCCGUCCACCUUGGCCUCCCAAAGUGCUGGGAUUACAGGCGUGAGCCACCGCGCCCGGCCUAGGUCAUUUGUUUUUGGGUUUGGAUGGCAAGAUCAUGGAUAAGACAGCAGGCUUUGAUUAUAGAGCUCUGAGUUCAAAUCCUGGCUCUACCACUUGUCAGUGGUGUAACUUGGAGGAAGAUGCUUAGCCUGAGCCUGUUUUAUGUUUUGAAGAUUGGGUAAUUGUCCUUCCUUCAGUGUUCCUGGGUGAGGAGUAAGUGAAGUCAUGUCUAUAAGAGAUGUAGCACAGUCUCCGGCAUGUAGAAACGGUCAGUAACUCCUAGUGUGUAGCUAGCCUCUGAUGAGAUGGUAAACUCAGGAGGCUGGCACCACGGCUGUGCUACUCACGGUCAUGCUGGAGGGAUGCAGAAACUAAAUGAAUCCACAGCUACUUACUCAUCUUGCCUCUGGCAGGUUCACCUUAAAAUUGUUGCUACCAAGCUUCCUGUGGUCAAAGAGCCCUUGAGGAAGCAAGCUCCACGGCCACCAUAGAUAACCCAUUCCUGAAAGUUUUUCAUAAACCCCCACUUGUUGCUUUUAAAAUUUUAUAAGCAGCUUACACAUGUAGAAAAUGAUCCUCCAGCCCACCACCACAUAGUAAUCACUGACACUGUGAGGUGUCUCAGCUGGGGUUCUGCUGUGUGUGUGUGUAUUUUACAAAAUAUGUAUGGUUUCUGUUCAGCUCUUUUCAGUUAACAGAUGAACUUUUGUAUCAUUAAAUAUUUUUGAAAACAUGAAU
This 3777-nucleotide long non-coding RNA is filed under the name Homo sapiens (human). RNAcentral describes it as "HSALNT0290044". The record is from RNAcentral. Lineage: Eukaryota; Metazoa; Chordata; Mammalia; Primates; Hominidae.